GCCCUUUUCCGGUUGAUCCUGCCGGAGGACAUUGCUAUUGGGAUUCGAUUUAGCCAUGCUAGUCGGACGAGUUGAGACUCGUGGCGCAUAGCUCAGUAACACGUGGCCAAGCUACCCUUCAGUCGGCAAUACCCUCGGGAAACUGAGGCUAAUGGCCGAUCUGGGACACCAGUUGGAAUACGGUGUCUGCUAAAGAUUUUCGCUGGAGGAUGCGGCUGCGGCCGAUUAGGUAGACGGUGGGGUAACGGCCCACCGUGCCAAUAAUCGGUACGGGUGAUGAGAGUCAGAGCCCGGAGACGGAAUCUGAGACAAGAUCCCGGGUCCUACGGGGUGCAGCAGGCGCGAAACCUUUACACUGCACGGAAGUGCGAUAGGGGAAUCCCAAGUGCGAGGGCAUAUUAGCCCUCGCUUUUGUUGACUGUAAGAUGGUCAACGAAUAAGAGCUGGGCAAGACCGGUGCCAGCCGCC
This 468-nucleotide ribosomal RNA is filed under the name uncultured archaeon. Its description in RNAcentral is "bacterial SSU rRNA". It matches the Rfam family "Archaeal small subunit ribosomal RNA", at positions 1 to 466 of the family's 1478-position model. The record is from RNAcentral.